Molecule: long non-coding RNA, 474 nt
Filed under: Androctonus crassicauda
Lineage: Eukaryota; Metazoa; Arthropoda; Arachnida; Scorpiones; Buthidae
Source: RNAcentral
UUCGAGACUAGAUGAAAAUUGGUCAGAUAGUAAAAAGAAACUCAAUAAAGAAUUCUAUACGACAGAAUCAUCAGAAUCAACUCAUUACAAAAAAAAUCGCAGUACAGAAACUUCACAAGAUGAAACAAUAAAUACGCAGUCUUCGGAAAGUUUAGAGAAAAGCACUUUAUCGAGCGUCGAAUCAAACAGAACAAACAGCCCUAAGCAAGUUGCAAACAUGAAUGUGUCUUCUUCAGAUAUAUCAGUCGAAUCGCCUCCAAUUUUUAUCAGAAAAGAACAAUGGCCUGAUAUAAAAUGUAGGAUGAGAAUAUUGUCCAAAAAGGAAACAACAUCCUCACCCACGGCUGUCAUUCGCAUUAAAAAGUUAGAAGAAAAUGAUAGCAUGCACUCUUCAUCAUCCGAACAGGAAUGGCAAUCCAAAUCCAGAAAACCAACAGCUAAGUUUAAAAUCAGAAAAACGGAAGAGUAUCAUUC